CCGAAACGCCAUUUUUUUCAAGUGGACGCAGUAUUUUGACAGAUAAGAGAACGAGAAGUACAAGCCUCAAUGGCUGCAGAGCUUUGGCAAACACUUUUAAACCAGUUUUUGCGUAUACUUUUGCUUGUGAACCAGCCUUCAAAUAUUCCUUCCAACAUGGUGGGAGGAGCUCCGUGUUAAAGCAGAGACGCUUGAGCCCCAUGGCGUACUUCCACAUCGAUGGCAGUAAAUGGAUGUCAUUGGUCCUUUUCAUGUGAAUUCAGAAGUUUUUGGAAGAAGACCAUUGUCAUAAGACUAGUUGGUGCUUUCCCGCACAAGAUAACAUAGUAUUUUGUGACUGUCAAGAGGAGCUUCUUUGAGGAAGAUGAGACAUGUGCAAAGGCACAUAUCAAGCACUUGUCCUCACUUUGCCUUGCCAAUGACCAAUAAAUGGUUGACUACAGUAUCUGAAGAUUUUUUAAGGAGUUGAAUGUCAUACAGACCUCUGCCUAUGGCUGCUAUAAAAUCAAAGUUUUACAGUGUUAUGUGAAGAAUUAAAAAAAUAUAUAGGAGUAUGUAAAGAAAUGUUGUAACUGUAAAUUGAAGUAACUUUUUUCUAUUUUCAUCUAGAUUUAAUAAAAAAUGUUUCCAUAGAUAUACACUGAGUAGUCAAAAAAGUUGCAAAUUUAAACUGUACAUCUAAAAGUUUAAGGCCAUGUGAUUGAAAUCAUUUGGAUUCUAAAAUUGUGAAAAGUAUGUGUCCAUUUUAUAUAAAAUUAAGGCAAUCAUUUUCAAUAGUUAUUUAAGGAAUAACUGUCAAGUUAGUAGAGUAUACCAGGGCAUCA
Saccostrea cuccullata (small rock oyster) is the source of this 824-nucleotide long non-coding RNA. RefSeq lists it as uncharacterized. The record is from RefSeq and is a predicted model, not a curated record. The transcript has 3 exons. Lineage: Eukaryota; Metazoa; Mollusca; Bivalvia; Ostreida; Ostreidae.